GGCUGUCACGCUCGCUCAGGCACGCGACAGCUGUUCCCCUCUGGAGGUUUUGACCUUCAAACUUAUCAGGCCGCGGGAAAUAUCCAGCGGCCUUUUUU
This 98-nucleotide small RNA is filed under the name Agrobacterium tumefaciens. RNAcentral's name for it is "Alphaproteobacterial ar15". It matches the Rfam family "Alphaproteobacterial ar15". The record is from Rfam by way of RNAcentral. Lineage: Bacteria; Pseudomonadati; Pseudomonadota; Alphaproteobacteria; Hyphomicrobiales; Rhizobiaceae.